RNAcentral lists this ribosomal RNA (253 nucleotides) under uncultured bacterium. Its description in RNAcentral is "partial 16S ribosomal RNA". It matches the Rfam family "Bacterial small subunit ribosomal RNA", at positions 524 to 776 of the family's 1533-position model. The record is from RNAcentral.
UACGAAGGGGGCUAGCGGUGCUCGGAAUUACUGGGCGUAAAGGGCGCGUAGGCGGACCUGUCAGUCAGGCGUGAAAGCCCAGGGCUCAACCCUGGAACUGCGCUUGAUACUGCGGGUCUAGAGUGCCGGAGAGGAUGGUGGAAUUCCCAGUGUAGAGGUGAAAUUCGUAGAUAUUGGGAAGAACACCGGUGGCGAAGGCGGCCAUCUGGACGGCAACUGACGCUGAGGCGCGAAAGCGUGGGGAGCAAACAGG